AGAGUUUGAUCCUGGCUCAGGAUGAACGCUAGCGGCGUGCCUAAUGCAUGCAAGUCGAACGGUAGCCUUUGAUUUCGGUUGAAGGUGAGAGUGGCGGACGGGUGAGUAACACGUAGGUGACCUACCCUGGAGAGGGGGACAACCACUGGAAACGGUGGCUAAUACCCCGGAUGUCGGUCUGGUUAGAGAGGAUUGACUGAAGGUGGGUAUGUUGAGAGACAUACACAUGCUCGAGGAGGGGCCUGCGGGCCAUCAGCUAGUUGGUGGGGUAAGAGCCUACCAAGGCAGAGACGGCUAGGGGGCGUGAGAGCGCGACCCCCCACACUGGUACUGAAACACGGACCAGAUACCUGCGGGUAGCAGCAGCAAGGAAUAUUGCGCAAUGGACGGAAGUCUGACGCAGCAACGCCGCGUGGAGGAAGAAGUCUUUCGGGAUGUAAACUCCUUUUCUGGGGGAAGAAGGCGACCAUGUAAACCAUGGUUUAGCUUGACGAUACCCCAGGAAGAAGGCCCGGCUAACUACGUGCCAGCAGCCGCGGUAAAACGUAGGGGUCGAGCGUUAUCCGGAAUUACUGGGCGUAAAGCGCGUGCAGGCGGCUGGACAAGUCGGACGUGAAAGCUCCUGGCUCAACUGGGAGAGGUCGUUCGAAACUGUUCANCUUGAGGUCGGUANAGGCGAGUGGGAUUCCCGGUGUANUGGUGAAAUGCGUANAUAUCGGGAGGAACACCANANGCNAAGGCGGCUCNCUGGGCCGNCCU
RNAcentral lists this ribosomal RNA (759 nucleotides) under uncultured bacterium. RNAcentral's name for it is "bacterial SSU rRNA". It matches the Rfam family "Bacterial small subunit ribosomal RNA", at positions 8 to 741 of the family's 1533-position model. The record is from RNAcentral.